Molecule: long non-coding RNA, 428 nt
Organism: Syzygium oleosum
Lineage: Eukaryota; Viridiplantae; Streptophyta; Magnoliopsida; Myrtales; Myrtaceae
Exons: 2
Source: RefSeq, a predicted model, not a curated record
CUCAUCUAAACGAACACCAAAUAACGUUAAUUCCAGCGAGCAAUCAACAGUACCACCCGAUCAGGCAUAGAACCCCCGAACUAAAAUCAGAUUGCGGAGAGGACGGGCUAUCACGGGACGCUACGCAAUGCAUCUAGAGAGCAAAAAGCAAACGAGGUUCAGACAUCAACCGAGAGAUAAUACCUCGACUUAGGAGAGAGCACCGAGCAGCUUGAAAUCGCCGCGGGAGCAGUGGAAUCGAGGACCCAAUAGCGACGAGAGCAGGGCAACAGGGACCACCCCUCCACGGUUUCAAGCCUCAGAGUACCGUUCAGCUUGAUUGAGAGAAGAGGAGAGAGAUGCGUCGCAGCUGGAGGAGGAGUGGAGACGCCGCGGCGCAGCUCUGAAGUCGGUAUGCACCAAUGGAGCGAGAGCAAAGAAGAGAGGAG